GUCGAGCGGAAUGACGAGAGCUUGCUCUUUGACUUUAGCGGCGGACGGGUGAGUAACACGUGGGCAACCUGCCCUACAGAUGGGGAUAACUCCGGGAAACCGGGGCUAAUACCGAAUAAUCAGUUUGUCCGCAUGGGCAAACUCUGAAAGACGGUUUCGGCUGUCACUGUAGGAUGGGCCCGCGGCGCAUUAGCUAGUUGGUGGGGUAAUGGCCUACCAAGGCAACGAUGCGUAGCCGACCUGAGAGGGUGAUCGGCCACACUGGGACUGAGACACGGCCCAGACUCCUACGGGAGGCAGCAGUAGGGAAUCUUCCACAAUGGACGAAAGUCUGAUGGAGCAAUGCCGCGUGAGCGAAGAAGGUUUUCGGAUCGUAAAGCUCUGUUGUAAGGGAAGAACACGUACGGGAGUAACUGCCCGUGCCAUGACGGUACCUUAUUAGAAAGCCACGGCUAACUACGUGCCAGCAGCCGCGGUAAUACGUAGGUGGCAAGCGUUGUCCGGAAUUAUUGGGCGUAAAGCGCGCGCAGGCGGUUCUUUAAGUCUGAUGUGAAAGCCCACGGCUCAACCGUGGAGGGUCAUUGGAAACUGGAGAACUUGAGUACAGAAGAGGAAAGCGGAAUUCCACGUGUAGCGGUGAAAUGCGUAGAGAUGUGGAGGAACACCAGUGGCGAA
This 675-nucleotide ribosomal RNA is filed under the name uncultured bacterium. RNAcentral describes it as "bacterial SSU rRNA". It matches the Rfam family "Bacterial small subunit ribosomal RNA", at positions 61 to 719 of the family's 1533-position model. The record is from RNAcentral.